Molecule: small nucleolar RNA, 81 nt
Filed under: Hapsidospora chrysogenum ATCC 11550
Lineage: Eukaryota; Fungi; Ascomycota; Sordariomycetes; Hypocreales; Bionectriaceae
Description: Acremonium chrysogenum ATCC 11550 A. fumigatus snoRNA Afu_294
Rfam family: A. fumigatus snoRNA Afu_294
Source: Rfam by way of RNAcentral
UACCAUGAUGACUUCUUUGUUAUUAGCUCUAUCUGAGUUCAUCGUGAUGAACACAACCAAUUCACCUUGGAGAACUGAUCA